AGAGUCAAGACCUCUAUCAAAGAGAAGAAAAGUCAUGAAGAAAUUGCAAAACAAAGCCCAACGAAUUAAACAACGUGCUGCUCAAAACUAUUCAAAUUUUGCUAUUUUAAUAGCUCCUUCCCACUAUUAACAUCUCAAUGUAUAUACAAACAUGUGUACUAUUUCAACAUAACAAGUAGCUUAUAAAAUAUGUGAUUUCCUUUUUUUCCACUUAUACUUCCUUAGUUAAGCAUAAU
Molecule: long non-coding RNA, 236 nt
Filed under: Prunus dulcis (almond)
Lineage: Eukaryota; Viridiplantae; Streptophyta; Magnoliopsida; Rosales; Rosaceae
Description: sRNA ncRNA
Source: RNAcentral